UACGGGGGGGGUAAGCGUUGUUCGGAAUUACUGGGCUUAAAGAGUUCGUAGGCGGCGCAGAAAGUGGGGUGUGAAAGCCCUCGGCUCAACCGAGGAAUUGCGCUCCAAACUACUGUGCUUGAGGAAGCUAGAGGUGAGCAGAACUGAUGGUGGAGCGGUGAAAUGCGUUGAUAUCAUCAGGAAUACCGGAGGCGAAGGCGGCUCACUGGGGCGUUUCUGACGCUGAGGAACGAAAGCCAGGGUAGCGAACGGG
RNAcentral lists this ribosomal RNA (253 nucleotides) under uncultured bacterium. Its description in RNAcentral is "partial 16S ribosomal RNA". It matches the Rfam family "Bacterial small subunit ribosomal RNA", at positions 524 to 776 of the family's 1533-position model. The record is from RNAcentral.